RNAcentral lists this ribosomal RNA (488 nucleotides) under uncultured bacterium. RNAcentral describes it as "bacterial SSU rRNA". It matches the Rfam family "Bacterial small subunit ribosomal RNA", at positions 29 to 508 of the family's 1533-position model. The record is from RNAcentral.
AACGAACGCUGGCGGCGCGCCUAAUACAUGCAAGUCGAACGAGAAUGUGUAGCAAUACACAUGUACAGUGGCGAACGGGUGAGGAAUACAUGGGUAACCUACCCUCGAGUGGGGAAUAACUAGCCGAAAGGUUAGCUAAUACCGCGUACGCUUCCCGGACUGCGGUUCGGGAAGGAAAGCGAUACCGUGGGUAUCGCGCUCUUGGAUGGGCUCAUGCCCUAUCAGCUUGUUGGUGAGGUAACUGCUCACCAAGGCUUCGACGGGUAGCUGAUCCGAGAGGAUGAUCAGCCACACUGGCACUGCGACACGGGCCAGACUCCUACGGGAGGCAGCAGUAAGGAAUAUUGCGCAAUGGGCGAAAGCCUGACGCAGCGACGCCGCGUGGGGGAUGAAGGUCUUCGGAUUGUAAACCCCUUUCGGGAGGGAAGAUGGGAUGGGGUAACCCAUUCGGACGGUACCUCCAGAAGCAGCCACGGCUAACUUCGUGC